Homo sapiens (human) is the source of this 924-nucleotide long non-coding RNA. Lineage: Eukaryota; Metazoa; Chordata; Mammalia; Primates; Hominidae. The record is from Ensembl.
CCCUAUUCAAGAUGGAGACGCCCUGGUUCAGACGCCUCUGACAGAUGCUCCAAGAUGAUGUGAAGCAAAUUUCACGACUAACGAUGGCCCGAAGGCUCCUUCCCUCCACGGGAUUCUGCUCCAGCCACAGCAGAGACUAUUUUGCACACCUUCCAGACAUUGCUGCCCCAUUCCAGGUACCUCAAGAUACAAGUGCCCUUCUUGUCUCAUGGACUCAAUCAGGAGAUAUGAAGAUUGACAACUGAUUGGCAAAAGUGAAGUCACUGUGUGACCUGUCCUGAAAAGAUGGUGGCUGCAUCUAGAAACAGUGACGUGUUUGGGGAACAAUGGAGUAGAGUCAGAGACGCACCUACUAAGACAUUUUGGCUGCUGGGCACCUGAACAUGAGCAAUGUGAAGCUUCCGGUGCGUGUUUCCAUAGAGAGUUUUCUGAUAAUGUGUCAGUUAUUUUUAGCCACAAAACACUAUAAGACAACUGAGCAUGCUUUUCAGUGGCUAACAACUAUAAGCAUUAAUUUUGCUCAUGCACUAAGGGAUGACUGAGCCCUUCUGCUGGCCUGGGCCACGCCUAACUGAUUGCAGCUGGGCUAGCUCUUGCAUCAGCUGGUGGAUUGGCCUGGGGCAGGCUGGCCUGGGGUAGCUUUGGUUGGGAUGAUUUUUUUCUGCUCUGUGGUCUUUCAUCUUGUGAUAGGCUAGUCUCGGCUUUUCCUACAGUGGAGGCAGGGGUCUGAGGGAAGAAGUGGAAACACUUGAGGCCUGGGAGGCCUACUCUGAUAAUAAGCCAAGUCACCUCUGCUGCAUUCUAUUGGUUAGAGCAAGCCACAGCUCAGCCCAGACACAAGAGUUGGGCAACACCCUCUACUUCUUGAUGAGAGGAGCUAACAUGUAACUUUGCAAAUGGAAUAAAUAUAGAAAAAGGUGAAAA